ACACUGGUGGCUCAGUGGUUGAGCAUCUGCCUUUGGCUCAGGACAUGAUCCCAGUGUU
Molecule: transfer RNA, 58 nt
Filed under: Canis lupus familiaris (dog)
Lineage: Eukaryota; Metazoa; Chordata; Mammalia; Carnivora; Canidae
Also listed under: 2 other names
Source: Rfam by way of RNAcentral